ACACAUGCAGUCGAGGGGUAGAACACUUCGGUGUUUGAGACCGGCGCACGGGUGCGUAACGCGUAUGCAAUCUACCUUGUACAGGGGAAUAGCCCAGAGAAAUUUGGAUUAAUGCCCCAUGGUAUUAUUAGAUGGCAUCAUUUAGUAAUUAAAGUUUUAAUGGUACAAGAUGAGCAUGCGUCCCAUUAGUUAGUUGGUAAGGUAACGGCUUACCAAGACGAUGAUGGGUAGGGGUCCUGAGAGGGAGAUCCCCCACACUGGUACUGAGACACGGACCAGACUCCUACGGGAGGCAGCAGUGAGGAAUAUUGGUCAAUGGGCGCAAGCCUGAACCAGCCAUGCCGCGUGCAGGAAGACGGUCCUAUGGAUUGUAAACUGCUUUUAUACAGGAAGAAACACUCCCUCGUGAGGGAGCUUGACGGUACUGUAGGAAUAAGGGUCGGCUAACUCCGUGCCAGCAGCCGCGGUAAUACGGAGGAUCCAAGCGUUAUCCGGAAUCAUUGGGUUUAAAGGGUCCGUAGGCGGUUUUAUAAGUCAGUGGUGAAAUCCAGCAGCUCAACUGUUGAACUGCCAUUGAUACUGUAAGACUUGAAUUUUUAGGAAGUAACUAGAAUAUGUAGUGUAGCGGUGAAAUGCUUAGAUAUUACAUGGAAUACCAAUUGCGAAGGCAGGUUACUACUAAAGGAUUGACGCUGAUGGACGAAAGCGUGGGGAGCGAACAGGAUUAGAUACCCUGGUAGUCCACGCCGUAAACGAUGGAUACUAGCUGUUCGGCGCAAGCUGAGUGGCUAAGCGAAAGUGAUAAGUAUCCCACCUGGGGAGUACGCACGCAAGUGUGAAACUCAAAGGAAU
RNAcentral lists this ribosomal RNA (852 nucleotides) under uncultured bacterium. RNAcentral's name for it is "bacterial SSU rRNA". It matches the Rfam family "Bacterial small subunit ribosomal RNA", at positions 51 to 910 of the family's 1533-position model. The record is from RNAcentral.